RNAcentral lists this ribosomal RNA (125 nucleotides) under Pogona vitticeps (central bearded dragon). The record is from RNAcentral. Lineage: Eukaryota; Metazoa; Chordata; Lepidosauria; Squamata; Agamidae.
GAUAACUACCAUACCACCCUAUACAUACUGUACCUGAUUUUAUCUGUUUUCAGAAGCUAAGUAUGGUUAGACCUGGAUAGUAUUUGGUUGAAAGACCACCAGGGAUCUCCAGAUAGAACUAGGCA